Molecule: transfer RNA, 61 nt
Filed under: Cajanus cajan (pigeon pea)
Lineage: Eukaryota; Viridiplantae; Streptophyta; Magnoliopsida; Fabales; Fabaceae
Rfam family: tRNA
About the family: Transfer RNA (tRNA) molecules are approximately 80 nucleotides in length. Their secondary structure includes four short double-helical elements and three loops (D, anti-codon, and T loops). Further hydrogen bonds mediate the characteristic L-shaped molecular structure. tRNAs have two regions of fundamental functional importance: the anti-codon, which is responsible for specific mRNA codon recognition, and the 3' end, to which the tRNAs corresponding amino acid is attached (by aminoacyl-tRNA synthetases). tRNAs cope with the degeneracy of the genetic code in two manners: having more than one tRNA (with a specific anti-codon) for a particular amino acid; and 'wobble' base-pairing, i.e. permitting non-standard base-pairing at the 3rd anti-codon position.
Source: Rfam by way of RNAcentral
GCGCCUGUGGCCUAAUGGAUAAGGCGUCAGACGAUUGUGGGUUCGAGUCCCACCAGGUGUG